This is a non-coding RNA of Acanthosepion pharaonis, 106 nucleotides long. The record is from the annotation of a GenBank genome assembly. Lineage: Eukaryota; Metazoa; Mollusca; Cephalopoda; Sepiida; Sepiidae.
UAUGGCCACAUCACAUUGGAACACCAGUUCCCAUAUGAUUACUAAAGUUAAGCAAUGUUGAGCUGGGUCAGUACCUAGAUAGGUGACCACUUGAGAAUACCAGGCA